GAUAAACGCUGGCGGCGCACAUAAGACAUGCAAGUCGAACGGAAGUCCUUAUAAAAAGGAUUGAAGAUUUAUCUGAUUGAGAUUUUAUAACAAUGGCUUUAGUGGCGGACUGGUGAGUAACGCGUGAGCAACCUGCCUACUAGAGGGGAAUAACAGUGAGAAAUCAUUGCUAAUACCGCAUAUGCCAUGAACAUCACAUGAUGAAAAUGGGAAAAGAGUAAUCUGCUAGUAGAUGGGCUCGCGUCUGAUUAGAUAGUUGGUGGGGUAACGGCCUACCAAGUCAACGAUCAGUAGCCGGACUGAGAGGUUGAACGGCCACAUUGGGACUGAGAUACGGCCCAGACUCCUACGGGAGGCAGCAGUCGGGAAUAUUGCGCAAUGGAGGAAACGUCUGACGCAGUGACGCCGCGUAUAGGAAGAAGGUUUUCGGAGUUGUAAACUGCUUUAGACAGGGAAGAACAAGACAGUACCUGUAG
RNAcentral lists this ribosomal RNA (476 nucleotides) under uncultured bacterium. Its description in RNAcentral is "bacterial SSU rRNA". It matches the Rfam family "Bacterial small subunit ribosomal RNA", at positions 28 to 484 of the family's 1533-position model. The record is from RNAcentral.